CACUUUAUCCUAGAAUCGCUUUGCAUUCUUCCAAGCCACCACAUGGAAAAGGGUAGGGGGAGGGGGGUGGAGCAGAUAAAAGUGCAGAGAGAUAGGUUGAUAGAUAUGCAUUGCAUGGUUGUGAUUCCAUGGCUGCAUUAUUGCGUCCAUCAACCCAAUUAAGAUGAGAUUUCACGUCGCCCUUUGGAUGAAACUGUGACCACCUAGAGAACCUUGAGAAAAGGAGGAGGAGAAGAAGAGGACAUGUGUGCUUGUGCUCCUCCUCCUCCUCCUUACAGGAGUAAUUUGAAGCACCUUGACUUGUGGGCACACCCUUCUUCUUCUUCUUCUUCUCCUUUUUUCCCUUUCCCUAUCCAUCUAACCCAAAGCUGAGUCUGCCCUAAACAUACGUGCCCCUCUGCCCUACCAUCAUCCCCCGAAGCCUUUUCUGGUCUCCUUUGUUCUGCUCCACAGUUGGUGAGGAGAAUCCCACUCACCUUUCUUCCCUCCAUUGUUUGCUUAUCCUUUCUUCCCCCUUUUCUCAUGUGUGCUUGCCCUUCCCUUCACGUUGGCUGGUAUGAUAUGGCCAAAGCAAAAGGUGGGGGGGGAUUGGGAGGGGGGCACCAUGUUCUGACCAAAGGCGCAGGAAAAGAUGGAGUCAGGUUCCCAACAUGCACAAACCCAAAGCAAGCUUCAUCUUCCGUGCAUGCCACCACCUGCACCAUGCUGCCGGGCGAGGUGGCUACUGCAAAAUCCAAAGAGGCAACUUGAUUUCAACAGAGCACUUUGUUGUGAGUUAUGCCAGAGAAAUGAGAAAACAGAUACAUAGAGGCUUCAAUCACUGAACAGUUAUGAUGAUGACCUUUCAUUUCUGUGGUGGAAGGGACUGUCAAGCAGUGAUCUUUGGCAGUGUUGACACAUCGAUGCAAGGAAUGCUUCUCAUACUUGAAGCUUCAGAAAGGACAACUGGUAUUUUCUUUCUUCUGGAUGCAGAUUUGUCCCUUGAGCCCAUAAACACCAUGAAUUGAAGGGCAGGUGAAUGGAGUCUCCUUGACUGUCAACAGAAAUAUACCUCUUGUCUGGGCUGGAGGUGGAUCUAUCCAUCCAUUUGGGUUGAGCUUUGGGCCUACUACUCCAUGGGAAGAUUGUGGCUCCACCCCAAGAUUCACUUGGUGCUUGGAUCAACCUCAGAUGCUGUGAUGAGAAGAUUUGUGAGCUUGAGAUGGCUUCUUCCAAAGAAAAUAGCUACAGUACUUGGAACAAGUCAUUCUAUCAUCACUGUAUUUCUAGAUUAUUAACACAAAAUCAUCUUUCUUGCAUUUCCUCACAUUUAUUGUCUGCAUCACAUUUUAGGAAUAAGAUUGUGGGUGUUCAGUGAACAUGGAAGCUGAGCCUCAGCCCUUGUCAGCUAGCAAUGAUCAAUCCUGUUGUUAUCAGCCUCAACUGAAACCUCAAGUUAGCAAUGUAAUCUUUGUCAAAGCAUACAUCAUGUGUUCUUCAUGCAAGUUUGUGUUAUAUUCCUUUGAUGAUAUAACAACACAUUGCUGCAAGCUUGCACAGCAACAAAAACAGAAAAAGACAUCUCAGAUGGUAAUUAUGGUCACUUCAAUAUCUGGUGGAAGGCCUGAAUCAGGUGCAGAAGAAUCAUUAUCUCUGGUCAGCAGACAAGGAUAGCUAAUUUGUCUUGGUUUUCCUCAAGCAGAAAUAAAAGCAAAUCUUGUUAGCCAAUAACAUUCGUCCACCAUCCUUUUGUUCAUCUCUGGAUUGUGGCCCUGCAGUUUAUAUUCCUUUUUCUUUUUCUGUUCUGUUUCUUCCAUCUUUUCUUUGGAUUAUUUUGCUGUCAUAUUUAUCUGAUUCCUUUCUUUCUGGGGUGCUCAGCUACAGGAAUUGAGCAUCCAUCACAUUGCUCAGACAGAGUGUGCCAUAUCAUGUCCUGUUUUUGUGGAUGAACAAUGGGCAUCAGACAGCUCUGCUGCUGUGUUUGGGUAGACACAAUGUUGUGACAAGUGCUUCCCUGAGUCAAGAAGAGGGAGAUGUGACCUGGGAUUCUUUGGCAGGGAGAAAUCAUGGAUGACAGAGAGGGAGACAUUGCAAGGGCAGACAGGUGCAUGGAUAAUUAUUCCAAAGACACAACAUGCUAUGUGAAAGAAACCUGAAGAUGGCACACAAAGUGCAUGGGAUGGUGGAUGAUGCAAUCAAAGGUAGGAUAAGUUCCAGGCCCUGCUUUUUGAUGUAGAGAAGCUUCAAAGAAACUUCCUCCAGUACACAAUUAUGCUUGAUUGGCAAGGGAUAUGUGAUUGCCAUCUCCUUUUUCUCAUCCAACAUAUGCAAAUCGUUCUCAUGUGAUGUUCACAAAAGCUACAUUGUUCAUACUAUACCCUUUGGAAAGCCACAAAAGUUUUCACAGAAGAAUUAGGUUCAUUAUCCUUCAACAUUAAAUUUUACUUUCCAACAUAAUCAUUCCGAGAUGUAUCUAUCACAAAUCUUUCUUCGAUAAUGUGACCGAUAAAUUAUUUUA
Long non-coding RNA from Musa acuminata AAA Group (dessert banana), 2497 nucleotides. RefSeq lists it as uncharacterized. The transcript has 5 exons. The record is from RefSeq and is a predicted model, not a curated record. Lineage: Eukaryota; Viridiplantae; Streptophyta; Magnoliopsida; Zingiberales; Musaceae.